UGAAACUGCACCUCUGGAAUUUGGUCGCAGUUAUUUAGGGUGGAGAAGCGGGCUCUGGCAACUAGAGAAGGUGGCCGCAGCAUGGGGACACCCGAAUUGAGGAGCUGUUUGGGCAAUAAGCUGAUUUAGAGAAUUAAGACCUCCACAGAUGGGAGUGGAAUCCGCAACUGCUCAAUCCAUCCACUGAGAAGUCCCAUAAAAGAUGGACAAUCCAUAACUGAAACCCAACCUUCGGCACAACGAUCAAAUUCUACAUGCAUAAAGCAAGAGAUCUGUGUGCCAGAUCCAUCUUAAAGGCACCCCACCCAGAGGACAGAGUCUGUCUCCUUCCCCUAAACAAUAUGCAGAAACCACCCUGGUAUUUCAUGGGUUCUCACUUAGGAAAAUUGAGUUCUGUUCAAUGAUGCCCCUUCUGCACUGGUUGGUUUCAUGUGACAAAGAGAGCUCUAGGGAGGACUUUUGCUAGGGGAACGCAGAUUGUUCCAGCAAGAUGAAGGCCUAGGAGACCUGGAUGGCCUGGGUGUUUUCUUCCCAGGGAGAGCAGAGGAGGCCUGGAUUUGAACUCGAGUCUUAUGACUUUGCCAUUGAGGCAACAUCCAAAAUAAAAAUAGCAUGCUAACCCCAAGCACAGUCCUCAGUUAUAAAGCAGCUUUAUUAUAGAAGCCGGCGGUGACCUAACAAAAUGGAAAGGGAAGGGCUCUGUAGGUCUCGGCCCUACAUGAGGGUAGACUAAAGAGGGAUUGGGAGAAACAUCUGCAGCCCGAGGUCCCCGCGAACUUUUUCCUGGAGAGAAACUCCGGGAGCAAUCUUCAGCAUUCAAGCCUGAGCCAGAACUCUGGAUAGCCCUUUAGAAAUCAGAACUCCGGGAAGGAGGAGCUCCAAAGACCGCUGAGCUGGAAGGGAACGCGAA
RNAcentral lists this long non-coding RNA (910 nucleotides) under Homo sapiens (human). Its description in RNAcentral is "non-protein coding LINC01384:1". The record is from RNAcentral. Lineage: Eukaryota; Metazoa; Chordata; Mammalia; Primates; Hominidae.